AGUCUUUACUCCUAAUGGAGCAGCAGAUCGGUCUCCGUCGCCAACCAGACCUUCGCACGCCCGAUCCAGCCCUACGCCCCCUCCACGGCCGAUCCAUCCCCGUGCCGCGGCCGAUCCAUGCCCUAUGCCGCCGCCGAUGCCUCCUCCUCCACCUCCAUUCCCGAGCGAGGGCGCCCGCGGCCGCGGUCUUCUCCCCCAGCCACCAUGGCUGCAGAUCCACUCAUGGCCGGUCGUCUAAGCUGCAAGCAUGGAUGGAUGGAUCCAGGAAGGUAUCCUUCCUCCCUGGGUGGAGCGAGCUGCACAUCCCAUUCGGCCCUCUGUAGUCGGCCAUCUCCGCCUCCUCCUCGCCGUCGCCGCCGCUGGGGAUCGCGUCUUCACCAAGCGCAAGCUCCGCCCCAUCCGACCGACCGCAAAGGGGUUGUCCAUUGUAAAUUUUCAAGGAGAUUCAAAUGUUCCUCUUCUGGAUGAUUGAAGGGAUACUUGAAGCUAGGGCAAUCCAAGUAAGAUAGCUUCAUCCUCAGGCAACAGGUUUAUGUUAUCUUAUCAUGGAGUCAUUUUUAAGUUUGUGCCCAACGCCUUCAUCCU
This is a long non-coding RNA of Triticum dicoccoides, 585 nucleotides long. RefSeq lists it as uncharacterized. NCBI's taxonomy places the organism in Eukaryota, Viridiplantae, Streptophyta, Magnoliopsida, Poales, Poaceae. The record is from RefSeq and is a predicted model, not a curated record. The transcript has 3 exons.